UACUAUUCAUUCAGCCUUAGGAUAAAAACACCAGUAUAUAUUUUUACAUAUCUAUUUUUGUAUUGUGAGUGGGCUAUAUUUGACUUUCGAUGCUGCGUCCUGGCACCUGCUAGUUCUUUUGUUUUUGUUGUUUAGGAGCAUGAAUGUUGAAGCAUAACAGGUUUGAAGUAUAUCUUUUUGCAUUGCGCCGGGGAUGAAGAAUUCUGGAAAGCUUGGUUUGAGGGGGCCAUUUUUUUUCUUUAAUUUUCACUUUUUUUUAUAUAUAUUAUUUUACAAUUUUCUUUUCGUUUGUGAAUGUGAUGUAUGUGUUGAGAAUAAUAUGC
RNAcentral lists this long non-coding RNA (323 nucleotides) under Trifolium pratense (red clover). RNAcentral's name for it is "long non-coding RNA (TPRA_LNC014087)". Lineage: Eukaryota; Viridiplantae; Streptophyta; Magnoliopsida; Fabales; Fabaceae. The record is from RNAcentral.